Peromyscus leucopus (white-footed mouse) is the source of this 536-nucleotide long non-coding RNA. RefSeq lists it as uncharacterized. The transcript is spliced from 3 exons. NCBI's taxonomy places the organism in Eukaryota, Metazoa, Chordata, Mammalia, Rodentia, Cricetidae. The record is from RefSeq and is a predicted model, not a curated record.
GACAAAGGGGGAAAGAGAGAGGAUCCAUUCUGGGCAGGAGUCAGCCAUGUUUCCCGGUAUUCUGGUUCAUUUUAGUCAUCCUCGUGUGUCUCCUGACUCCUUGAACACCAACGCCCCAGCACAAAGAUGUGUGAUGGGAAGGAAAGGGGUGUGGGUGAGCGAGAAGAAAAGACAAAGAUUCAACAGCUCAGAGGCAGAAUGCGAUGGAGGCGACGAAAACACAAGAAGCAAAGUUGGGAAGCAGAACUUAUGAGAGGGAAGCACAGGGAGUCCAGGAGUGACGUCACAUCAGACUUGAUUUUGGAGGAUUCUUCCAGCAGCACUGUCGGGCAUGACAACAAAAUAAUAGACAAGACAACCCUCAAAAGUGUGGGGACAGGGAGAGAGAGCCAGCAUCAAACUGCAGAGCAUCUACAUUAAAGGACAGAUAAGGGCAAAAAAAUCCAUUCCUGCCAAGAAGAACUGGUCGGAGAGGUGGGCGACAUUCUGAGUGGUCAACAGAGCAAAGAAGGCUGUCUUCUCAAGUGUUGGAAGCU